Molecule: long non-coding RNA, 249 nt
Filed under: Lathyrus oleraceus (garden pea)
Lineage: Eukaryota; Viridiplantae; Streptophyta; Magnoliopsida; Fabales; Fabaceae
Description: Pisum sativum (pea) long non-coding RNA (PSAT_LNC038728)
Source: RNAcentral
UAAUGAACCCCAUUCUCCGUUUUGAACCCCAGUCGCCUGACGAUAACUCGCGAUCGCCAAUGUAAACCCCGUUCUCCAGAAAAUGCCGCAACAUCUCCUUUUCUCCGUUUGAACCCCAUCUCCAGAAAACGCCUCAACAUCUCCUUUUCUCCGUUUGAACCCCGUCUCCAGAAAAUGCCUCAACAUCUCCUUUUCUCCGUUUGAACCCCAUUCUCCAAUCUCCUCGUGAUAAUUCCGCUGGCAACGUCG